CUACACAUGCAGUCGAGCGGUAGAGAGAAGCUUGCUUCUCUUGAGAGCGGCGGACGGGUGAGUAAUGCCUAGGAAUCUGCCUGGUAGUGGGGGAUAACGUUCGGAAACGGACGCUAAUACCGCAUACGUCCUACGGGAGAAAGCAGGGGACCUUCGGGCCUUGCGCUAUCAGAUGAGCCUAGGUCGGAUUAGCUAGUUGGUGAGGUAAUGGCUCACCAAGGCGACGAUCCGUAACUGGUCUGAGAGGAUGAUCAGUCACACUGGAACUGAGACACGGUCCAGACUCCUACGGGAGGCAGCAGUGGGGAAUAUUGGACAAUGGGCGAAAGCCUGAUCCAGCCAUGCCGCGUGUGUGAAGAAGGUCUUCGGAUUGUAAAGCACUUUAAGUUGGGAGGAAGGGUUGUAGAUUAAUACUCUGCAAUUUUGACGUUACCGACAGAAUAAGCACCGGCUAACUCUGUGCCAGCAGCCGCGGUAAUACAGAGGGUGCAAGCGUUAAUCGGAAUUACUGGGCGUAAAGCGCGCGUAGGUGGUUUGUUAAGUUGGAUGUGAAAUCCCCGGGCUCAAC
This 568-nucleotide ribosomal RNA is filed under the name bacterium amp-d-11. Its description in RNAcentral is "bacterial SSU rRNA". It matches the Rfam family "Bacterial small subunit ribosomal RNA", at positions 49 to 613 of the family's 1533-position model. The record is from RNAcentral.